GACGAACGCUGGCGGCGUGCUUAACACAUGCAAGUCGAACGGAAAGGCCCUGCUUUUGUGGGGUGCUCGAGUGGCGAACGGGUGAGUAACACGUGAGUAACCUGCCCUUGACUUUGGGAUAACUUCAGGAAACUGGGGCUAAUACCGGAUAGGAGCUCCUGCUGCAUGGUGGGGGUUGGAAAGUUUCGGCGGUUGGGGAUGGACUCGCGGCUUAUCAGCUUGUUGGUGGGGUAGUGGCUUACCAAGGCUUUGACGGGUAGCCGGCCUGAGAGGGUGACCGGGUUCAUUGGGACUGAAAGGCGGACCAGACUACAACGGGCGGAAGCAGUGGGGAAUACUGCGCAAUGGGCGGAAGCCGGAUGCAGCAACGCCGCGUGAGGGAUGACGGCCUUCGGGUUGUAAGCAGCUUUCGCCUGUGACAAAGCGUGAGUGACGGUAAUGGGUAAAGAAGGCCCGGCUAAAUACGUG
This 468-nucleotide ribosomal RNA is filed under the name uncultured bacterium. RNAcentral's name for it is "partial 16S ribosomal RNA". It matches the Rfam family "Bacterial small subunit ribosomal RNA", at positions 28 to 507 of the family's 1533-position model. The record is from RNAcentral.